AGAAUCAACGCUGGCGGCGUGCCUAACACAUGCAAGUCGCACGAGAAAGGGUAGCAAUACCUGAGUAAAGUGGCGCACGGGUGAGUAACACGUGAAUGAUCUACCUCCGAGUGGGGAAUAAACUGAGAGAAAUCUUAGCUAAUACCACAUAACACUUACGAGUCAAAGCAGCAAUGCGCUUGGAGAGGAGUUCGCGGCCGAUUAGUAGUGGCGGGUAAUGGCCCACAAGCGAUGAUCGGUA
RNAcentral lists this ribosomal RNA (241 nucleotides) under uncultured bacterium. RNAcentral describes it as "partial small subunit ribosomal RNA". It matches the Rfam family "Bacterial small subunit ribosomal RNA", at positions 26 to 285 of the family's 1533-position model. The record is from RNAcentral.